RNAcentral lists this transfer RNA (63 nucleotides) under Amphigerontia montivaga. RNAcentral's name for it is "tRNA-His". Lineage: Eukaryota; Metazoa; Arthropoda; Insecta; Psocodea; Psocidae. The record is from RNAcentral.
ACUAAGGUAGUUUAAAAAAAACAUAAAUUUGUGGAGUUUAAAAUGUUGAAGUAACCCUAAGUA